Long non-coding RNA from Impatiens glandulifera, 687 nucleotides. RefSeq lists it as uncharacterized. The transcript has 3 exons. Lineage: Eukaryota; Viridiplantae; Streptophyta; Magnoliopsida; Ericales; Balsaminaceae. The record is from RefSeq and is a predicted model, not a curated record.
UUCUUCUCUGUAGUUGUCUUUUCAUAUUCCUGAUGUAGUUCUGAUCAAUAGCCGUCUUAUUGUCUUCCUCUGUAGUUUGGUUCUCUUGCCGUUUUCUCCUAUUCUUGAUGUAGUUUGGAUCUUUGCCCGUCUUCUCAUAUUCUCAUUGUAGUCAGAUCUCUUGCCAUUUUCUCUUAUUCCUAUCUACCCAGUUUCGAUCUCUAACUGUUUUUUUUUUCUUUCUGUCAUGUCAAUAUUAAAAUAUCAUGUAAGCCUAUUUUCUAAAGAAGUUUAUGUCUAUGAUGUCUAUCAUGGUUUAUAUAGUUUAAAAGGUAUUGAGUUCAAACAGUCACCAAUGGAUAUAUUCUAUCAAUAAGCGGUGGUGUAGUGAUGUUCAUUAGGUUGAAGAUCCCUAUUAACACUCCACAAGAUUGGCAAGAACAUAAUAUCCAAGUUUCUUUUGAUUUUUUCCAUUUGCCGGAGGACCACCAUUACCACCACCAUCAAAGCAAGAGACUUCUCAUCCAAUGAGGAUGGAACCGAUUGGAGUGUAUCACCAUAUAUGUCACCACCUUCAAUUUGGGAUUGUAUCACAAGAUUUGUCUCGGGAUUUACUUAGGCUGAGUUUGUUAGAAGGUAUAAUAUAUAAGGUAUAAAUUAUAUAUAGGUAUAAAUUGUAAGGAGGUAUAAGAAGGUAUAAGUUAUAUA